GGGCGAGGGGCUUGGUCACCCGGUCUGAAUUCCACUGUCAGGACAGCUGUGGAACCGCCAGAGAAAAGUCUGGCCAUGAAAGAAAGAAUAAAUUCCUGGAAAUGGAACUGGUGGAUGUCACAGGAAUUUGAGACAAAUCUUCAUUUUUUGGCUCCUUCCCCGGUUAUAAGAUGAGCAGUACAAUAGAGGAUGGACUGGAGUUGGAAAAGACUAAAGCAGCAAGUUUGAUAAGGAGGCUACAGCAAUAGUCCAGGUGAAAGACGCAAGAGCCCAAAAUGCGGCAGUGGCCAAGGGAAUGGAUCUGAGAUAAAGUUCAGAAGAUAGAGUUGGCAGGGCAGGUGAGUUUAUCUUUAAUCCAGGAGAAGAGAAGAAGGCCACAUGAAGAUGGAGCAAGAGAUUGGAGUGAUGUGGCCACAAGCCAAGGAAGCUGACGAAUGAAGACAGCUGUCAGAAGCUGGAAGAGGAAAAGGAUUCUCUCUUGGGGUCUCCAGAGGGAGAACAGCCCUGCCAACACUUCCAUUUCCAAUGUCUGGACUCUAGAACUGUGAGAAAAUAAAUUCCCAUUAUUUUAAGGAACACAGUUUGUGAUACUGCAUUACAGCAGCUCCAUGAAACAAAUACAUUUUGUUAUUCCAAGUCCUCUUCACAACAAAGUCUUUGCUAGUGGUGAACCAAACACAGUCCCACCAUCAUGAGCCCCUGUUCUGGAUGAGGGGGCAACACAGUUCAGACACUGGUCAUCUCUAUUUAAUGUCUAAUGGGCAUCUCAAACCUAACUUUCUCCCAGUGGAAAUGCCUGGAGGUAUGUGGAGAUGGAAAGCUGACCUAGCCAAGGAGUUCAGCAAAGAUCCCUGGGAGGAGGUGACAUCUGGACAUCUGCACAGAAUAAUGAGGCUGGGCUAAGGCAGUGACUGAGGGAGGCACUCUUUUUUGGUUUUGCUUUUCUUUUCUUUUGUGUAGGAAGGAAAGAAUAGCCAGGAGAGAUAGGGGAGAAAGAGGAUAAAGAUAGACAGGAAAGAGGUAACACAAGAAGUCAGGAUCUGCGCUUGAGGGGCAGAAGUCAAGUCGGGCUAAGGUGAGAAGGCAGAACAGGAUUCAGGGUCUUUGAAGAGAAACAAGUACAGAGCUGGAACUAAGUGAUGAUGACUCCAGACUAAAACCCUCUGGGUUUGAAUCCUGCCUCUGCCACUUACUUAUUCAUUACAAAAUAGCGAGAAAUUACAUUAUCUGGAUCUUGGUCUCCUCAACUAUAAAAUAAAAAUAAUAAUAGCUCCUAUCUCAUAGGAUGCUAUUAGGAGUACUAAGUAUAUUAACACCUGUAAAGCACUUGGCUCAAUGUCUGGCACUGCAUAUGCAAUAAAUGUCAUUAUUACUAUUAACAUUAUUAGAAGAAGCAGCAAAUUUAAAAUCAGAAUGUGAGCACUGGAAAGGACUUCAGAAUCAACUAAUCUAAUUCCCCCAUUGUACAAAUGAACAGACUGAGGCCCAGAGAGGUUUGAAAUUGGCCAAAUUUAAGGAGAUAGGAACAGAGCCGAGAUGACAAAAUUGCUUGAAAGUCUAUGCUUUUUCUAGGUGAACUAUACAUAUAUAUUUGGGAAUCAUAAGAAUAUAAGCAGCGAUUGAAUCUGAGGAGAUAGAGUUACUCAGGAAGAACACAAGAAUUACUACAGAAAGCUGAAAGAAGAAUGAAAAUAGAUUUGAAGUCAACUUGAUUCAAAUAUCCCAAUGUAAUGGUAUUAGGAAGUGGUGCCUUUUUGAGGUAAUUGGGUCAUGAGGGUGGAGUCCUCAUGAGUGGGAUUAGGGCCCUUAUAAGGGGCUGAAGAGACCAGAGUUUUCCCUUCCACCAACUGAAGACUCAUAUAGAAGGUACUAUUUAUGAGCCAGAGGGUAGGUCCUCAGCAGACACCAAAUCUGCUGCAACCUUGAUCUUGGACUUCCCAGUCUCCAGAAAUGUGAGAAACAAAUUUCUAUUGUUUAAAAGCCACCCAAUUUAUAGUAUUUUGUUAUAGCAGACUGAAUGGGCUAAGACACCAUUAAACUUUGAAACUUGGUUUUUCCACAUGUAAAAUCAGGAUACACAUAGAAAACCUGCUGAUGCCUUUAAAAAAUUUUAAACCCAUAUGUUCUAAAGUUGGUAACAGAGGAAGACUUUCCACAAGAUGGAGGAAAGUCUUUUACUCCAGAUCUUAAAACUAACCUUAUUCUUGAGGUAUAAGGUUACUCACACUAAUGUCUGCUGGAGCCACAAUCAGCAAACUGGCUUUAGGGGUACAAAGCAUGGAUUUUACAGUUUCUCUCAUUGCCAUAGUAUGGUUGAGACAGCUUAUAAUAUUUAUGCAAGAUACUACUAAAGAUGGACCCCUCAUGUUGGAGCUGGACAUAGGACUUUUCUCUUCUUUCUAGAUUUCUUCCAUAGAUACAUUCAUUUAAUCCCAUAGCUUUAAAAUACCACCUCAAAGCCAAAGACUCAUAUUUAUACCUCUAGCUCUGACCUACUCCUGAGCUCCAGACUUAUAUGUCCAAUUGCUUGCUCUAGAUUAUUACUUAGAUAUCUAAUGGUCAUUCAAAUAUAACAUUUCCAAAAUGGGAUGCUUGACUUCCUGCUCCCAAACCAGUUCUUCCUGCAACAUUCUCAAUCUUGGUAAACUUAUAUCCAAUUGAUAUAGUUUGGAUAUCUGUACCCGCCCAAAUCUCAGGUUGAAUUGUAAUCCCCAGUGCUGGAAGUGGGGGCCGGUGGGAGGUGAUUGGAUCACGGGAUGGAUCUCUCAUGGCUUGGUGCUGUCUUCAUGAUAGUGAGUAAGUUCUCACGAGAUCUGGUCAUUUAAAGGUUGUGUGGACCCCCCUCACCCUCCCACUCUCUUGCUCCUGCUUUUGCCACUUGAGGUGCCUGCUCCCCUUUAGCCUUCCACCAUGAUAGGAAGCUUCCUGGGGCCUCCCUAGAAGCCAAGCAGAUGCCAGCACCAUGCUUCCUGUAAAGCCUAUAGAACUGUGAGCCAAUUAAACUUUUUCUUAUAAAUUAUCCAGUUUCAGGUAUUUCUUUAUAGCAAUGUAAGAACAGCCUAAGAAAUCAAUCCAUCAGCAAACUCUCUUAGUUCUACCUCUGGAACAUUUUGCGAAUCUCAAUCUUUCUCCACAUCUGAUGCCUUAAUAUUCCAAGCCACUGCCAUCUCUUACCUCCCCUUCUGUGGUAGUUUCUCAGCUGGAUUUUCUAUUCCUACUUUAAUAUCCCCUACAAUCUACUCUCCACACAGCAGCCAGAUGGUCUGUUUACUACAUAAAUUAUGUGUCACUCUCUUGGUUAUAAACGUCUAAUGGCUUCCUAUCACACUUAGAUUGAAACUCUAACCCCAUUAGGCCCUGCAAGACCCAGAUCCUGCUUACUGUCUGACCUCACCCCACACUUUCCUUGCUCAUCAUGCUCCAGAUUCGAGGCUGGAUUGCUUUCUGUUCCUCAAACACACCAAGCUUAUUUCUUUUUCUAUCUAUCUAUCUAUCUAUCUAUCUAUCUAUCUAUCUAUCUAUCUAAUCUAUCUAUCUUUAUCAAAAGAAUCAGAGGUGAAACCAUGCUCAUUUCUGAUGUAACCUCAGCAGUUCCCUCUGUCUGGAAGGCUCAUUCCAUCCUGUGCCCUCCUCCCCAUCUUCACUUGGCUGCAUUCUUCUCAUCGUUGUGGUCUCUGCUUAUUUUUAUGUUCUAACAAAGGCCUUCCUUGCCUGUCCUUGCUAGAAUAGCUCUCUAGUCAGCCUCUAUCAUAUCAGCUGGCUUUUGCAUCUGAGCAUUUUUUGCUACUGAUAUUUCCUUGUUUAUUUUCUGUCUAUUGUCUGUUUCUUUCUCACUAGAAUGUAAACUUUCUGAGAGCAGUGAUUUUAUCUGUUUGGUUUACCACUGUGUUCCCAGCCUCAGAAAAGUGCAUACACCUGGUGGACCCUCAAUUAAUAUUUGAUGAAUAAAUAAAUAAAGGUUCAAAUAAGAGAAGGGAAGUAAAUGCAGGAAGCACCAUAUCAUUAGAUUGUCUGGCACAUAAAUUAGAAUCCCCAACUUCAGCUUGUAGUUCAGCAUGAAAAUGCAUUUCCCUUGCUAUGUCAGAAUGUCUAGACUUGUGGAAAUCCAAACCUGAACAAAGGACAGUGAGGACAGAGGGUUGGAAAGCCCCCUGGUUUUCUCUCCUGCAUUUCUACAUUCUACCUUUGCUAUGGUUUCACCUGGAGUGUUAGUCCAUUUUGCAUUGUUAUAAAGGAAUACCUGAGACUGGGUAAUUUAUAAAGAAAAGAGGUUUAUUAGGCUCAUGGUUCUGCAGGCUGUACAAGACACAUGGUGCCAGCAUCUGCUCAGCUUCUGGUGAGGCCUCAGGAGCCUUUACUCAUGGCAGAAGGCAAAGGGAGCCAGUGUGUCACAUGGUGAGAAAGGAAGCAAGAGAGAGGGAAGGUGAUGCCAGGCUCUUUUUAACAGUCAGUUCUGGUGUGAACCAAUAGAGCAAGAACUUUCUCAUUACCAUGAGAAAGGCACCAAGCCAUUCAUCAGGAAUCUACCCCUAUGACACAUACACCUCCCAGAGGCCCCACCUCCAACACUGGGGAUCGAAUUUCAACAUUAGACUUCGAGGGGAUAAACAUCCAAACUAUAUCACCUGGGGAUCUACCCACUGACCUGGAUGAUUAACACUGGGCAGUUCCACCUUCCUGAGUGGUGAUAUCACUCCACAUCCACAGUAGAGGUUUGGAUGGAAGGCAAAGAAUAAGCUCAUCAGAACAUCCUACAAGAAAUACAGACUUAUUAAUAGCAAGGAGAGCUGCUUUCUGCAAGAUAAUUGAGUUAGUUUGUUCAGGCUGUUUUAACAUAAUACCAUAGACUUGGUGGCUUAAACAACAAACAUUUAUCCCUCAUAGUUCUGGAGGCUGAGAAGUACAAGAUCGAGAUGUUGGCAGAUUUGGUGUCUAGGGAAGGCCCACUUCUUGGCUCAUAGACAGCUGUCUUGUCACUGUGCCCUCACAUGGCAGAAAGGGCUGGGGGAACUCUGUGGGUUCUCUUUUAUAAGGGUACAAAGCCUAUUCAUAAGGGCUCCACCUUCAUAAGCUAAUUACUUCCCAAUGGCCCCAUCUCCUGAUACCAUCACAUUGGGGGUUAGGAUGUACAACAUGUGAAUUUAGAGGAUCACAAACAUUUCAUCCAUAACAGUAAUGAUCUCUGUUCUACACACUUCCCAUACUUGUUCUGAUGAUCUGAUAAAGAAGUGUGGUCUGGAACAUGACCCACAUGUGUAAAUCACUACAUUAUUACACUAUUUGCUCCUCAUCACUAUGUGUUUAUGAGAAGCAGAGCAAAUACUCCUGGCAGAAUGCCAUCAGUGUUCCUCAUACCACAGUACUAAGGACUUAGACAAUUUUUGUUGUCCUCUCCAUCCUAGAUAACUCUGUAUCCCUGUAUAAGACUCAUUCAACACUUGGUCUCACCAUUCUAUGGUAUCGUCAUCUUCAAUAUGCCUCUCCCCUCCACCAUGCUUCAUUCAUGUGGUCACACUCUGAACCUUGUCAUCACUCCCAAACUAUUCCACUUUAGAAACCUCAAGCCUCAAGACCUGGGAAUAACUGAUAUUCUGCUCACAAUGUCCUAACCCUCUAGCUCUCAUAUUCACUUACUCCCCUUAUGCCUGCUUUUCAACCCCACCAAGACCUCCUCAAACCUUUUCUCCCUAUCUCUUAGGCCCCUUCGGAGCUGACUUCCUUCACUAUUCAUCCAUACCACUUCCUUCUUCCAAAAUCUUAAUUUUCAUGCCCCCACCUGCCAACCCUCAACCCUGGAACAGUCUAGCGCCUGCCUUUCCUGUUUCUAAACACCCAGGGUACUGUGCCCUCAUGGAGAAAAUAACAGAGUGGUUUGAUCUGGUGACACCAUAAACUUUCAAAAUAAGUUGGUUCCUUUGGCCAAAUGGCAAUCCUAUAUGCUUCUCCCAAUUGCCCUGAUGCAUGAACUUUAUUCAUGCUUCUUUCUCUCUCGUACAUAUUCAUACUCAGUGAAUGGCAUCCUUUUCUAUACCAUGAGGAAAAUGGAGGUCUUCAUGCAUAAAACCUCUCAGCUUUCUGCUCCCCAUGUGCAAAUAAAGUGAAUGUAUAUCUACAGCUAUGGCCAAGAUGAACUGCUGUUAACCAGAAUCUAUUCCUCCCUUCGUCCUGGACACACAGCUCCGCUACAUUUCUCAACCUCCCUUGCAGUUAGAUGUAUCAUGUGAUGAAAUUUUUUGCCACUGGAAUUUGAGCAUUAGUAUUGUCUACCACUUCCAUGCCUGGUCUAUAAAAGUGUUUCACGUGCACAUCACCGUGAUCUUUCCCCUUCUGGCAAGCUGUUUGAUGAUAUGAAAACCAUGUGUUAAAGAUGGCAGAGCUGCCAUCAGCUUUGUUCCUUAAAUAACUGCAUGGGAAGUAGCUGCCUGCCUGUCUUUAAAAACUGCCCUAAAAAUGAUGUAAGUGAGAAAUAAACUUUAUUUUUGAGUCAUUA
Long non-coding RNA from Pan troglodytes (chimpanzee), 6490 nucleotides. RefSeq lists it as uncharacterized. The transcript has 4 exons. NCBI's taxonomy places the organism in Eukaryota, Metazoa, Chordata, Mammalia, Primates, Hominidae. The record is from RefSeq and is a predicted model, not a curated record.